RNAcentral lists this ribosomal RNA (1598 nucleotides) under Candida maltosa. Its description in RNAcentral is "partial small subunit ribosomal RNA". It matches the Rfam family "Bacterial small subunit ribosomal RNA". The record is from RNAcentral. Lineage: Eukaryota; Fungi; Ascomycota; Pichiomycetes; Serinales; Debaryomycetaceae.
UAGUAAAUACUACAUGAAUAUGAUGUAGGUUCAGAUAGAACGCUAGAUAGAGACAUAACACAUGCUAAUGUAGAUAGCAGAUAUUUUUAUAAUAUUUGUUAAAUACGUGUACAGGUGAGUAUAUGGAUUAUAUAUCCUAAUAAAUGCAGGUAGUAGCUAGUAGUAGUAUUAAAUUAGAUUUUUUAAUAUUAUUACUGUAUAUAGCUAGCCUAUAACUUAUAUUCCAUGAUGGAAGUCAUAAGGAACACAUAGAAUUUUUUCUACUACUAUUAGUAGCAGCAGUGAGGAAUUAUUGACAAUGAUCUAACGAUUGAUCAUGUUAUCUAUUAAAGUUUUGAGAGAUUAUUAAACUACAUGUAGUGUAAUAUUUUUACUCAAUAAUGCUUUAUUCUAAAAUUCAAUAAUGAUGAAUGAAUAAUUUUAAGCUAUAUAUAGUGUAUAAAUUAUAGAAUUAGUACUUACAAAGAUAUGUGCCAGCAGUAGCGGUCAUACAUACAGUGCAAGCGUUUAUCGACAUUGGUUUAAAGGAUUCGUAGGUGUAUGUAGUAGAGUUUUUCUUUAUUUUUAAUAUAGAAUUUUUCUACUGUAUUAAGUAAUAUAUAUAGAAAGAUAAAAUAUUAUGACAUAUAUAAGACUGCAAGGUAAAUACAGUGUUAAAAUUGACACUAAGGAAUGAAAGCUAUAGUAGCGACAUGGAUUCGAUACCCAUUUAGUUAUAGCUGUAAACUAUGUGUACAAAGAAUAUGCUAUAUAUAGUAUAUGAUUAAAUAAAUAUAAAGUACACCACCAGCUUAGUACGUUUGCAAAAAUGAAAUUUAAUACAUUAGACGGUUAUAUACAUAUACAGUGGAUUAUGCUGUUUAAUUGGACGAUACUCCUAGUACCUUACCAUAGCUUGAAUUUUAAUAAUUUUUUUAUUAUAACAGGCGUUACAUUGUUGUCGUCAGUUCAUGCUUAAUGGUCUUUUAUUAAGUUAGACAAUGAACGAAAUCCUUGAAUUUUCUUACUAUAUACAGUAUAUAAAUAUCUAUUUUAUAAUUAAUAAUUCAUUCAGGAGGGUAAGCUAUAUAUAGUAACAAUUAUUUAUUAAUUUAAAUAAUGUAUAUACUUAUUAAAUACAGUAUGAAAUUUAUGUAGUUAUAUAAUUUAUUAUUUAUAUGCUAUAUGUAAUAGAAAUAUUGAUAUAUUAUAGAAAUAUAAUAUGAAAAAAGGUUGAAGACUAAUCCUCAUGAUCCUUAUGCUAUGGGCAACAGGUGUAAUACAAAUUUGUAAUCAAUUAUAUGUGUAGCUAUAUACAGUAUUGAAUUUACAAAAUAAAGAAAAAUUUCUUAAAUUGGAUUAUAGCCUGAUACUUGGCUAUAUGAAACAGGAACUGUUAGUAAUCAUAAGUUAGUAUACUAUGGUGAAUAUUUCAUAUAUUUCGCACUAAUCACUCAUCAAUAGCAUAAAUACUAAUACUAGUAUAUGCGUUAUGAUUUUAUUAAUUUAAAAAUAUAAUGGAAUACUAGCUAUAUAAGCUGAUAUGCUAUAAGUUGAAAUACAGUUCGAGUAAGGGAACUUGCUCGGGAUUUAUAAUUACAUUAUCUAUUCUUUUAUCU